Molecule: non-coding RNA, 213 nt
Filed under: Phyllobacterium myrsinacearum
Lineage: Bacteria; Pseudomonadati; Pseudomonadota; Alphaproteobacteria; Hyphomicrobiales; Phyllobacteriaceae
Source: RNAcentral
UGAUACCGAUGUGGUAGCGAUCCACAUUGGCCCCGAGUUAUGCGCGUUCAAUCGUGAGGCUGAAGGUGAAGUGUUGACAGGGGAGCGUGCAGGCCAGCCGUUGAACCGCGAAACUGGCGCUUUUCAGGUGCCGACGUUCUUCUUGUGGCGGAAGGCAAUAUGAGCAGUUGCGAUAACGCAAGCGGCUGUUCAACUUGGCGUGGUCAACAUCCU